GGAAUUUUUUGGGGAAUUUUUGGGAUUUUUUGGGAAUUUUUUGAGGAAUUUUUCGGGAUUUUUUGGGAAUUUUUGGGGGGAAUUUUCGGGAUUUUUGGGGAAAUUUUGGGAAUAUUUUCAGGGAAUUUUCGGGAUUUUUUGGGAAUUUUUUCGGGGAUAUUUUGGGAAUUCUGGGGAAUUUUUGGGAAUCUCCAGGACAUCAAGAGCGGGCGCUCGCCGCUGCUGCACGCGGUGGAGAACGACAGCCUGGAGAUGGCCGAGCUGCUGCUGCAGCACGGAGCCAGCGUGAACGCCCAAUCCUACGUGGAUUUUGGGUGGUUUUGAUGCGAUUUUGGGUCAUUUUUGGGUCAUUUUUGGGGCAUUUUUGAUGCAUUUUUGGGGCGAUUUUUGGGUAUUUUGGGUUUUUGAAUACCCCAAAUCAGAUUUUGGGGUUCCCAAACCCAUAUUUUUUGGUUUUUUCUGUGUUUUCCAGCACGGAGCCACCUCAAACCACAAAUCCCACCUGGAUUUUGGGUGGUGCUGCACGCGGCCGCGGGCCGGGGGCUGCUGCGGCUGCUGCGGCUCCUCCUGCGCUGCGGCGCCGACUGCGGCCUCCGCAACCUGCACAACGACACCGCUGCUGGCGUGGCUGCCAGCGCCCAGGUGAUCGACAUCCUUCGGGGAAAAGCCUCGAGACCCCCCCAGGACCCCCCAAAAUCCCCCCGGGACCCCCCCCACGGUGAGAAUUCCCAAAUUUUGGGGGGUCCUGGGUGGAAAUUCUCAAAUUUUGGGUGGGAAUUCCCAAAUUUUGGGUGUUUUGGGUGGAAAUUCUCAAAUUUUGGGUGGGAAUUCCCAAAUUUUGGGGGGUUUUGGGUGGAAAUUCCCAAAUUUUGGGUGGGAAUUCCCAAAUUUUGGGGGGUUUUGGGUGGAAAUUCCCAAAUUAUAGGUGGAAAUUCCCAAAUUUUGGGGGUUUUAGGUGGAAAUUCCCAAAUUUUGGGGGGUUUUGGGUGGAAAUUCCCCGAUUUUGGGGGAUUUGGGGUGGAAAUUCCCAAAUUUUGGGUGGGAAUUCCCAAAUUUUGGGGUUUUUGGGUGGAAAUUCCCCGAUUUUGGGGGAUUUGGGGUGGAAAUUCCCAACUUUUGGGGGGGUUUUGGGUGGAAAUUCCCCAAUUUUGGCUCCUCUGAGACCCCGUCCCCAUUUCUAGGCCGCGCCUCGGAGUCCCCGCCCACUUCCGGGUCUGCAGCCAAUGGGGUUCAAGAGGCGGGGCCUCCAACGGGAGCGCAGAGAAGCCCCGCCCACCGUCACACAGCGGACCAAUCAGAAGCGGCGAUGGGGAGGCUCCGCCCGCGCGGGGGGCGGGGCCAGGGGGCGCCGAAGCGGGAGCGGCCUGAGGGGGAAAUAAAAAUUAAUUAAAAAUAAAAUUAAAAAGCGGG
Long non-coding RNA from Cyanistes caeruleus (blue tit), 1410 nucleotides. NCBI's taxonomy places the organism in Eukaryota, Metazoa, Chordata, Aves, Passeriformes, Paridae. The record is from Ensembl.